RNAcentral lists this long non-coding RNA (1303 nucleotides) under Struthio camelus australis. RNAcentral describes it as "lncRNA (ENSSCUG00000002139.1)". Lineage: Eukaryota; Metazoa; Chordata; Aves; Struthioniformes; Struthionidae. The record is from RNAcentral.
AUGAUAGUCACUUUCCAUGAUAAACAGUCAUACAUAUUGAUGGAUGAAUUUAGGGCUGAACAGAAUGAGGAAAUGAAUCAUGUUAGUUGCAGAGUAGUUGGUCACUUUGACUGGAUUUCAAAUGUUCUCUUAUUUAACAGUUGGCAAAAAAUACCUAAUUUUUUCUCUUUUUUUUUUCCUAGAAUUGACAGAUCUGAAGGAUAGAGCAGCUGGUGGUGUUAGGAAGGGGAUGUAAAAUAUAAAAGCAGCUGGCAAUUUUCUGUCUGAAGGAAAAGGAAAAAACAGUGAGGAAGAUUGGAACUACUACAUAUCAACGGAGAAGAAAAGUAGUAAUGGAAUUGGAUAGUUGUACAAUAUGCUUGCAGAAUGGAGAAUGAAAACAAUUGCUUAAAUACAAUCUUGUAGUGAUAGAAUUAAAAGUCUGUCUUCAGUCCUCUCUGCUGGACACAAGAGACUCUCUCUGUUAGAAUUAAAGAAACAUCAGUUGGCUCUUCUGCCAAAGACGUUUUGACUUUCUGAAGCUGUACUUUCCUUUAACAACCUUAUUUUGAAACAAUUCCGAAGAAACGUUCAAAGUAAAAAUAACAUAUCAAUGGCUUAAAAUCUUGAAAGGUUUUGAAAACUAAAACUGAACAGAAAUUAGAAUUUGUUCUGUAGUCGUGAAUUGCUCCUAACCAGAAUUUAAAUAGCAAUCCCAUGCUAGAAAAGAUCAUCAUAUUUGAUUGUCAUCCUUUAUUUUAUAGAUGCAGUCUCAUGUUAUGUACCUGCUAAAGUUGGCUGUUCUCUUCUGAAUCGUAUUGCAUGAUAAUAUCAAACAUGUAAGAGCUAAUAUUCUCUGAGCACUUGUCUAUCUAUAAAGUAAAGGGAAAAAAUGUUAAGCACUGGUAAUGUAAAUACUGAAUCAGUUAACUAGUAUCAGUUUUAAUUUGCGUAAUUAAACUCUUCUGGAAAUGAAUUAAAAGUCCAAUUUUGUGUUGGCUUGUUGUAAACCCGACCUCUGCAUGCACAAAUCUAAAUGGAAAAAAAUGAUUUUAUUAACUUAUGCUGAUGUGACUUGAUUCUUUAUCUCUUAGCCUGUCCACGAGAGUAACAGCAGCUCCUUAUCAGACGAUGCUGUUAUGUCUGAUGAUAGUUGUAGUGGAGAGACUUCAAAUAUCCAUACUCUCUUGCCUCAUUUUUGUUCUAGUCUAAACAUCACAUCGCAUAUAGAGCAUCCCAACUCAAAAAGCAAAAUGCAAAUAGGCUGUUUGUGUUGGAGACAAAGCUGAAAGGGAAAUAAAGAUGGGUUACAGUUAUGGUGGCA